RNAcentral lists this ribosomal RNA (467 nucleotides) under uncultured bacterium. Its description in RNAcentral is "partial 16S ribosomal RNA". It matches the Rfam family "Bacterial small subunit ribosomal RNA", at positions 28 to 506 of the family's 1533-position model. The record is from RNAcentral.
GACGAACGCUGGCGGCGUGCUUAACACAUGCAAGUCGAACGGAAAGGCCCUGCUUUUGUGGGGUGCUCGAGUGGCGAACGGGUGAGUAACACGUGAGUAACCUGCCCUUGACUUUGGGAUAACUUCAGGAAACUGGGGCUAAUACCGGAUAGGAGCUCCUGCUGCAUGGUGGGGGUUGGAAAGUUUCGGCGGUUGGGGAUGGACUCGCGGCUUAUCAGCUUGUUGGUGGGGUAGUGGCUUACCAAGGCUUUGACGGGUAGCCGGCCUGAGAGGGUGACCGGCCACAUUGGGACUGAGAUACGGCCCAGACUCCUACGGGAGGCAGCAGUGGGGAAUAUUGCACAAUGGGCGGAAGCCUGAUGCAGCAACGCCGCGUGCGGGAUGACGGCCUUCGGGUGGUAAACCGCUUUCGCCUGUGACGAAGCGUGAGUGACGGUAAUGGGUAAAGAAGCACCGGCUAACUACGU